GGACAUUGGAAUAAAUAUAAUGACAGAACAAGAUGUAGUAAAUGAAGUGACAAACAAGAGACAAUUGAGAAGAUUGAUUUUGUCCUGCCAUAUGAUUUAAUAAUACAAAGUGCACAUCCUGAGAAUAUAAAAUUUGUUACCGAGUUUUCCAAGAAAACAGGUGAUUACACAAGUUUAUCAGCAACUGACAUAAAAGUAAUUGCAUUAACAUACCAACUGGAAAA
Molecule: non-coding RNA, 224 nt
Organism: Megalopta genalis
Lineage: Eukaryota; Metazoa; Arthropoda; Insecta; Hymenoptera; Halictidae
Source: RefSeq, a predicted model, not a curated record